UGGGGAAUUUUGCACAAUGGGGGAAACCCUGAUGCAGCGACGCCGCGUGAUUUAGAAGGCCUUCGGGUUGUAAAAAUCUUUUCUAUGGGAAGAAAAUGACAGUACCAUAGGAAUAAGGACCGGCUAAUUACGUGCCAGCCGCCGCGGUAAUACGUAAGGUCCGAGCGUUGUCCGGAAUCAUUGGGCGUAAAGGGUACGUAGGCGGGUAAGCAAGUUAGAAGUGAAAUCCUAUAGCUCAACUAUAGUAAGCUUUUAAAACUGCUCAUCUUGAGGUAUGGAAGGGAAAGUGGAAUUCCUAGUGUAGCGGUGAAAUGCGCAGAUAUUAGGAGGAAUACCGGUGGCGAAGGCGACUUUCUGGCCAUAACCUGACGCUGAGGUACGAAAGCGUGGGUAGCAAACAGG
This 402-nucleotide ribosomal RNA is filed under the name bacterium. RNAcentral describes it as "partial 16S ribosomal RNA". It matches the Rfam family "Bacterial small subunit ribosomal RNA", at positions 355 to 776 of the family's 1533-position model. The record is from RNAcentral. RNAcentral also lists the same sequence under 1 other name.